AUUUGCAUAGUUUAAAUAAAACGCUACAUUUUCAUUGUAAAAUUAGAAGUCUUUCUUGUAAAUAC
RNAcentral lists this transfer RNA (65 nucleotides) under Aeolesthes oenochrous. RNAcentral describes it as "tRNA-Glu". Lineage: Eukaryota; Metazoa; Arthropoda; Insecta; Coleoptera; Cerambycidae. The record is from RNAcentral.